CCCCUAGACGUUCUGGGCUGCACGCGCGCUACAAUAAUACGCACAGCGAGUAUCACCGAGCUCGAAAGGGCAAGGUAAACAAUAGAAAAGGUACUGUAAUGGUUAUAGAUCCUUGUAAUUAUUGAUCUUCAACGAGGAAUUCCUAGUAAGUAUGUGUCAUCAUCACGCACUGAUUACGUCCCUGCCCUUUGUACACACCGCCCGUCGCUCCUACCGAUUGGGUGAGCCGAUGAAACUCUCGGAUGUAGGCGAUUCAUAGCCCGCAGAAGAGAUUUGAAUCGUAGCGCUUAGAGGAAGGAGAAGUCGUAACA
RNAcentral lists this ribosomal RNA (311 nucleotides) under uncultured eukaryote. RNAcentral describes it as "partial 18S ribosomal RNA". It matches the Rfam family "Eukaryotic small subunit ribosomal RNA", at positions 1470 to 1796 of the family's 1831-position model. The record is from RNAcentral.